This 400-nucleotide ribosomal RNA is filed under the name phytoplankton environmental sample. RNAcentral's name for it is "partial small subunit ribosomal RNA". It matches the Rfam family "Eukaryotic small subunit ribosomal RNA", at positions 587 to 987 of the family's 1831-position model. The record is from RNAcentral.
AGCUCCAGUAGCGUAUAUUAAAGUUGUUGCAGUUAAAAAGCUCGUAGUUGGAUUUCUGGCUUGACGAAACUGAUCCGCCGCGCUAGCGGUGUGUGUCGGGCUUCGUCUGCCAUCCUUCUAGAGACGUUUCUGCCCUUCACUGGGCCGGAUUCGCGUUCUAGAACAGUUACUUUGAAGAAAUUAGAGUGUUCAAAGCAGGCUUGCGCUGUGAAUACAUUAGCAUGGAAUAAUAAUUUAGGACUUCGGUUCUAUUUUGUUGGUUUCUAGGAUCGAAGUAAUGAUUGAUAGGGAUAGUUGGGGGUGCUAGUAUUAAGCGGCCAGAGGUGAAAUUCUUGGAUUCGCUUAAGACUAACUCAUGCGAAAGCAUUCACCAAGGAUGUCUUCUUUAAUCAAGAACGAA